Molecule: ribosomal RNA, 1163 nt
Filed under: metagenome
Description: bacterial LSU rRNA
Rfam family: Bacterial large subunit ribosomal RNA
Source: RNAcentral
AUGAGUAGCGAGAUGGAGGUGGGAAUCCUCCAGGCCGAAUAUCUAAGGUUUCCAGGGUAAAGCUGAUCUGCCCUGGGUAAGUCGGGGCCUAAGGCAAGGCUGAGAAGCGUAGCUGAUGGACAACAGGUUUAGAUUCCUGUACCACAUGGUAUCAGAACUGUGGGGACGCAGAGGGAUAAGAUGACCGGGGAACAGAUUCCCGGGCAAGCGUAGGAGGUGUCAGGCAGGCAAAUCCGCCUGAUAAGCCAAAGACGUGACGCGGACCGAACCAAAGUAGGGAAGCAUCCGAUUCCAGCUGCCGAGAAAAGCCGCUAUUGUGUAUCAUGUGCCCGUACCGUAAACCGACACAGGUGGAUGAGGAGAGAAUCCUAAGGCCGGCGGGAGAAGCAUUGUUAAGGAACUCGGCAAAAUGACCCCGUAACUUCGGGAGAAGGGGUGCCCACUUCAGGGUGGGCCGCAGAGAAUAGGCUCAAGCAACUGUUUAGCAAAAACACAGGUCUAUGCGAAACCGUAAGGUGAAGUAUAUGGGCUGACGCCUGCCCGGUGCUGGAAGGUUAAGAGGAGAGGUUAGAGCAAUCGAAGCUUUGAAUUGAAGCCCCAGUAAACGGCGGCCGUAACUAUAACGGUCCUAAGGUAGCGAAAUUCCUUGUCGGGUAAGUUCCGACCCGCACGAAAGGCGUAAUGAUUUGAGCGCUGUCUCGACAAUGCACCCGGUGAAAUUGAAAUACCAGUGAAGAUGCUGGUUACCUGCGCCAGGACGGAAAGACCCCAUGGAGCUUUACUCCAGCUUGAUACUGGGAUUCGGUAAUGCAUGCACAGGAUAGGUGGGAGGCUACGAGUACGGAACUCCGGUUUCGUAUGAGCCGCUGUUGGGAUACCACCCUUGCGUUACUGGGUUUCUAACCAUGGUCCAUGAUCUGGAUCGGGGACAAUGUCAGGUGGGGAGUUUGACUGGGGCGGUCGCCUCCGAAAGGGUAUCGGAGGCGCUCAAAGGUUCCCUCAGAAUGGUUGGAAACCAUUCGAAGAGUGCAAAGGCAGAAGGGAGCUUGACUGCGACACCGACGGGUGGAGCAGGUACGAAAGUAGGACUUAGUGAUCCGGUGGUAUGAAAGUGGGAUUGCCAUCGCUCAACGGAUAAAAGCUACCCUGGGGAUAACAGGCUU